GAUGAACGCUGGCGGCGUGCUUAACACAUGCAAGUCGAACGGAAAGGCCCAAGCUUGCUUGGGUACUCGAGUGGCGAACGGGUGAGUAACACGUGGGUGAUCUGCCCUGCACUUCGGGAUAAGCCUGGGAAACUGGGUCUAAUACCGGAUAGGACGAUGUUUUGGAUGCUGUUGUGGAAAGUUUUUUCGGUGUGGGAUGAGCUCGCGGCCUAUCUGCUUGUUGGUGGGGUGUUGGCCUACCAAGGCGUCGACGGGUAGACGGGCUGAGAGGGUGUACGGGGACAUUGGGACUGUGAGACGGCCCAGACUCCUACGGGAGGCAGCAGUGUGGAAUAUUGCACAAUGUGCGCAAGCCUGAUGCGGCGACGCCGCGUGGGGGAUGACGGCCUUCGGGUUGUAAACUCCUUUCGCUAGGGACGAAGCGUGUUUGUGACGGUACCUGGAGAAGAAGCACCGGCUAACUACGUG
Molecule: ribosomal RNA, 468 nt
Filed under: uncultured bacterium
Lineage: Bacteria
Description: partial 16S ribosomal RNA
Rfam family: Bacterial small subunit ribosomal RNA
Source: RNAcentral